This 442-nucleotide ribosomal RNA is filed under the name Micromonospora sp. R-45554. Its description in RNAcentral is "bacterial SSU rRNA". It matches the Rfam family "Bacterial small subunit ribosomal RNA", at positions 10 to 457 of the family's 1533-position model. The record is from RNAcentral. Lineage: Bacteria; Bacillati; Actinomycetota; Actinomycetes; Micromonosporales; Micromonosporaceae.
AGUUUGAUCCUGGCUCAGGACGAACGCUGGCGGCGUGCUUAACACAUGCAAGUCGAGCGGAAAGGCCCUUCGGGGUACUCGAGCGGCGAACGGGUGAGUAACACGUGAGCAACCUGCCCCAGGCUUUGGGAUAACCCCGGGAAACCGGGGCUAAUACCGAAUAUGACCUCUGACCGCAUGGUUGGUGGUGGAAAGUUUUUCGGCUUGGGAUGGGCUCGCGGCCUAUCAGCUUGUUGGUGGGGUGAUGGCCUACCAAGGCGACGACGGGUAGCCGGCCUGAGAGGGCGACCGGCCACACUGGGACUGAGACACGGCCCAGACUCCUACGGGAGGCAGCAGUGGGGAAUAUUGCACAAUGGGCGGAAGCCUGAUGCAGCGACGCCGCGUGAGGGAUGACGGCCUUCGGGUUGUAAACCUCUUUCAGCAGGGACGAAGCGUAAGU